ACGCAAAGGCCAUACCCUGGUUACGUACGCACGCGCUGCGGAACUCUGCUUGCGAGAUCAUUCAAUAAAGUGAUGGAUGCCGUUGUGCACUGUGUGACUGUGUCGUACCUAAACUCCAUCGCUUCUAUCUCACCCCCCCCCCCUCUCUACUAUGGUUGUCGUGGGAUGGAUGGAUGGAUGGGGGGAAUGGCAACGUAGCUCAGUGCGAUCGGCACUAAGGAACAAUGAAUGUACUCUGAAGCAGAGGGCCCCUCAGCCGUGCGUACGUGCACACGGGGAGCCCAGCGCGUCAGAGAUUUCUCUGAAUCAAAUGUACUCUCGGCUAUGCGAUAUCUCGCAUCUCUUGCAUCUAUGAAGAACGUAGUGAAAUGCGAUACUUUGUGUGAAUUGCAGAAUCUCGUGAACCAUUGAUUCUUUUAAUCGCAAGUUGUGCCCGAGGCCUUUUGGCCGAUGGCACGCCUGCUUUGCUAGUCAUGGCAUUGCCGCCUUUUCUCCCUGCGAUGCUGGUGCUUGAGCGCGUAAAUUGGCCCCGUGUGCCCUCCUCCUUCUGGCGGGCACAGUCCGUUGACGAGCGGGUAGUCUCAAGUCUUCUGGCACGAUGGGUGUUGGUUUCGCCACGAGCGGGAACCGAACAUUGUCCUCUUCUUUUUGGGGUGAGCCCUCAAUUCAUGUGAAGAAAGAAGACCCUGUGUGAUUUGAUUGCGGCGGCGGGCGAAAGUGCCACGUCGUCACGUCCAUCAAUCAACUUGUGGCCCCAACUCAGGCGAGACCACCCCCCCAGUUCA
RNAcentral lists this ribosomal RNA (785 nucleotides) under Kaempferia angustifolia. RNAcentral's name for it is "eukaryotic LSU rRNA". The stretch from base 314 to 474 matches the Rfam family "5.8S ribosomal RNA". The record is from RNAcentral. Lineage: Eukaryota; Viridiplantae; Streptophyta; Magnoliopsida; Zingiberales; Zingiberaceae.